RNAcentral lists this long non-coding RNA (758 nucleotides) under Populus tremula. Its description in RNAcentral is "long non-coding RNA (PTRE_LNC001321)". The record is from RNAcentral. Lineage: Eukaryota; Viridiplantae; Streptophyta; Magnoliopsida; Malpighiales; Salicaceae.
AUGCUCCUCCCCCAGUUCAACUUUCACCGGACUCCUUGUCUGAUCCAUUUUGGGCCGACAGUUCAACCAUAACCCCGCAUUCCUACUAGCAGUUGAGAUUUCCUAAUCCUUUUCAGCUUUAAAUUCCAGUUUUGUUACCAUCAAUUAUCAGAUAUCAAUGAGUUUUGAGUUCUACUAUCUUUCACUUCUUGUUGAUUUGUUGUUAACACACACAAAAAAAUGCGGUCUACAUCUCUGUAGAAGCUGCACUUUGAGCCAGGCCAUCAAGCACAAUUAUUGCUCUUACAUGGGGUGGAUUUAUAAAAUGCUGCUAUGAUUGUUUGCUAAUGUUCAAAUGUUUGAAUGAAGAUUUCGUUUUCAAUAAGUUAGAAUGCAUUACUUACAACCGUUUUAAAAGUCGUUGUUUCUUCUGUUACAGAUGGUAAAGGGUGAGAACAGUUUGGCUGAGUUCCUGCGAGCUAGGAUGGCUAUCUGUUCCAGUUCAACCUCGCCUGUCAAAUGAGGCGUUUGCUCGAAUUUGGUGGCAAAAAUCUUUGGCCGUGACUCCAGCAAGAUUUGCUAUUGUCCUCCCUGUAUAGUACCGGAAAGCAUCAAGGAUCCGGCGAGAGACUCUCUCAACGGGACUAGAUACCAAACGAUGAUUUGGGAUGCUGUUGUUGAUACAUGGGAAUUCUGAAGUAUAUUUUGGAGACUUCUUUUUUAAUUUUGAUUUUGUAAAUACGAAUAACGAAGUCUAAAUAAUUUAACACUUCAUGAAA